Pelobates cultripes (western spadefoot toad) is the source of this 272-nucleotide non-coding RNA. Lineage: Eukaryota; Metazoa; Chordata; Amphibia; Anura; Pelobatidae. The record is from the annotation of a GenBank genome assembly.
GACACAGAGACUGAGGAAGGGGCAAAAGAGAAGCACAAAGUGGUUGGUAGGGGAGAAAGAGACACACAGAUGAUCUUGGGAGGGAGACACACAGAGGAGACUUAGGAGGAAAAAGACACACAGAGGGGCCUGGGAGUGAAAUGGACACACACAAAGAGCUGGGAAGAGUAAAGACAGAAAGGGUCUUGGCAGAGUACGACACGCAAAGUGGUUGGGAGAAUGUAGGAGACGUACAAAGAGGGGGUAUAAGAGACACACAGGGCUUUUAAGAG